Molecule: unclassified non-coding RNA, 289 nt
Filed under: uncultured Pezizales
Lineage: Eukaryota; Fungi; Ascomycota; Pezizomycetes; Pezizales
Description: sequence contains 5.8S rRNA gene, ITS2, 28S rRNA gene
Source: RNAcentral
AACGCACAUUGCGCCCCAUGGUAGUCCGUGGGGCAUGCCCGUCUCAGCGUCAGUGAAACCCAUCAACUCCUGACUUUUCUGUUGGAGGUUGGAUUCUGUCAGGGAAGCUGUGACCUCCCAGGUCAUAGCUCCUUGAAAAUCUAUGGAUGUUCAGACCACCAUGUUGGGAACGUGAUGUGAUUAUUUUCGUUCCACGGGGUUUGUUUUCGACCAUCCUAAAAACUGACAUGCCAUCGAGCACCUUUAAGCAUUUGACCUGAGAUCGGGUAGGGAUACCCGCUGAACUUAA